CUAGUUUUGAACUUUCACAUUAGUUUUAUAAAAUAUUUGCUUUCGGUGAUAUGUUGUUGUAAUAAAUCGCAUAAACAAAUAAAAUAAUAUAAUGAAAUUAUAAUUUAAUGCAAUAGUGUUGAUAAUAUAGCACAAAUUUUUCAGGUUAAAUUCAAACGAGAUACAAAGUGAAUCAUUGACAAGAAAGUGAAAGAUCAUCGGAAUCGGAUGAAGGACAUUACAUACAUUGAAGGAAUUUAGAGGACAAAAGUUAAGAACUACCUGUAACAAGAAAGUAUAUAAUUUCUCAUAUCACGUCUCCGAUGAUCCGCUUUAAAUGUGAUUUCGCCGAUUUUAUAAUGUUCUCUCAUAAGCCUCCAAAAUCAGAAGGAGGAAUCAUAUAUCACUUAUUUAUAAAAAUUUAUCUUCUUAUUUACAAAAAUUAAUUUUUGAAUUUCUUUUUUCAUGCGAGAUGAGUUUUUUAAAUUUAAUUAAUCAUGCUCCAAAAUUAAUUCCGAAUAAAUAUCGUGGCAUAAUCUUGGAUCUUUUUAAGCAAUUUACAAAUGCAUCUGUGAAAAGAUUAAUAGUUAAUUCAAUAUAGCGGAUCGCCUUUAUUGUAAAACAUACGAAUAAAUGCCUUAUAUAUGAA
Long non-coding RNA from Apis cerana (Asiatic honeybee), 628 nucleotides. RefSeq lists it as uncharacterized. Lineage: Eukaryota; Metazoa; Arthropoda; Insecta; Hymenoptera; Apidae. The record is from RefSeq and is a predicted model, not a curated record.